Molecule: ribosomal RNA, 458 nt
Filed under: Otospermum glabrum
Lineage: Eukaryota; Viridiplantae; Streptophyta; Magnoliopsida; Asterales; Asteraceae
Description: partial internal transcribed spacer
Source: RNAcentral
UCGAACCCUGCAAAGCAGAACGACCCGUGAACACGUAAUACAACUGUGUGUCGAGUUGGUUAAGCACUUGUUUGAUCAUCUCGAUGCUUUGUCGAUGUGCAUUCACUCGAGUCCUUAAGUGACGCUUGUGAAUGUGUCAUCGGCGCAAUAACAACCCCCGGCACAAUGUGUGCCAAGGAAAACAAAACUUGAGAAGGCUUGUUUCAUGUUUGCCCCGUUCGCGGUGUGCUCAUGGGANGUGGCUUCUUUAUAAAUCGCGUCGCCCCCNACAAGUAUUUGUCGGGGCGGAUAUUGGUCUCCCGUGCUCAUGGCGUGGUUGGCCAAAAUAGGAGUCCCUUCGAUGGACGCACAAACUAGUGGUGGUCGUAAAAACCCUCGUUCUUUGUUUUGUGCCGAUAGUCGCAAGGAAACACUCUUCAAAUAACCCAAUGUGUUGUCUUAGGAUGACGCUUCGACCG